UACGGGGGGAGCAAGCGUUGUUCGGAUUUAUUGGGCGUAAAGAGCUCGUAGGCGGUUCGAUGAGUCGGCUGUGAAAUCUCCACGCUUAACGUGGAGGGGUCAGUCGAUACUGUCGUGACUCGAGUCCGGUAGGGGAGAAUGGAAUUCCCGGUGUAGCGGUGAAAUGCGCAGAGAUCGGGAGGAACACCCGUAGCGAAGGCGGUUCUCUGGGCCGAUGCUGACGCUGAGGCGCGAAAGCGUGGGGAGCAAACAGG
This 254-nucleotide ribosomal RNA is filed under the name uncultured bacterium. RNAcentral describes it as "partial 16S ribosomal RNA". It matches the Rfam family "Bacterial small subunit ribosomal RNA", at positions 524 to 776 of the family's 1533-position model. The record is from RNAcentral.